This 245-nucleotide ribosomal RNA is filed under the name uncultured Prevotellaceae bacterium. RNAcentral describes it as "partial 16S ribosomal RNA". It matches the Rfam family "Bacterial small subunit ribosomal RNA", at positions 524 to 769 of the family's 1533-position model. Lineage: Bacteria; Pseudomonadati; Bacteroidota; Bacteroidia; Bacteroidales; Prevotellaceae. The record is from RNAcentral.
UACGGAAGGUCCGGGCGUUAUCCGGAUUUAUUGGGUUUAAAGGGAGCGCAGGCGGAGAGGCAAGCGUGCCGUGAAAUCGCGGGGCUCAACCCCGUCGAGCGGCGCGAACUGCCCCCCUUGGUUGCGGGAGAGGAAGGCGGAACUCGUGGUGUAGCGGUGAAAUGCAUAGAUAUCACGAGGAACUCCGAUCGCGAAGGCAGCCUUCCGGCCCGCCAACGACGCUCAUGCUCGAAGGCGCGGGUAUC